This 498-nucleotide ribosomal RNA is filed under the name uncultured bacterium. RNAcentral describes it as "partial 16S ribosomal RNA". It matches the Rfam family "Bacterial small subunit ribosomal RNA", at positions 28 to 507 of the family's 1533-position model. The record is from RNAcentral.
GACGAACGCUGGCGGCGUGCCUAAUACAUGCAAGUCGAACGAGAGCGCCCGGUGCUUGCACUGGUCAAUCUAGUGGCGAACGGGUGAGUAACACGUGGGUAACCUGCUCAUCAGAGGGGGAUAACAUCCGGAAACGGAUGCUAAAACCGCAUAGGUCUUCGAGCCGCAUGGCUUGAAGAGGAAAAGAGGCGCAAGCUUCUGCUGAUGGAUGGACCCGCGGUGCAUUAGCUAGUUGGUGAGGUAACGGCUCACCAAGGCCGUGAUGCAUAGCCGACCUGAGAGGGUGAUCGGCCACAUUGGGACUGAGACACGGCCCAAACUCCUACGGGAGGCAGCAGUAGGGAAUCUUCCGCAAUGGACGCAAGUCUGACGGAGCAACGCCGCGUGAGUGAAGAAGGUUUUCGGAUCGUAAAACUCUGUUGUUAGAGAAGAACAAGUGCUAGAGUAACUGUUAGCGCCUUGACGGUAGCUAACCAGAAAGCCACGGCUAACUACGUG